Molecule: ribosomal RNA, 407 nt
Filed under: uncultured bacterium
Lineage: Bacteria
Description: partial 16S ribosomal RNA
Rfam family: Bacterial small subunit ribosomal RNA
Source: RNAcentral
AUUGAACGCUGGCGGCAGGCCUAACACAUGCAAGUCGAACGGGGUGGCGGACGGGUUGGUAAUGCCUAGGAAUCUGCCUGGUGGUUGGGGAUAACGUCCGGGAACGGGUGCUAAUACCGCAUACUAUCAGAUGAGCCUAGGUCGGAUUAGCUAGUUGGUGGGGUAAAGGCCUACCAAGGCGACGAUCCGUAACUGGUCUGAGAGGAUGAUCAGUCACACUGGAACUGAGACACGGGCCAGACUCCUACGGGAGGCAGCAGUGGGGAAUAUUGGACAAUGGGCGAAAGCCUGAUCCAGCCAUGCCGCGUGUGUGAAGAAGGUCUUCGGAUUGUAAAGCACUUUAAGUUGGGAGGCGUUACCAACAGAAUAAGCACCGGCUAACUUCGUGCCAGCAGCCGCGGUAAUAC